RNAcentral lists this transfer RNA (73 nucleotides) under Camelus bactrianus (Bactrian camel). It matches the Rfam family "tRNA". From Rfam's summary of the family: Transfer RNA (tRNA) molecules are approximately 80 nucleotides in length. RNAcentral also lists the same sequence under 2 other names. Lineage: Eukaryota; Metazoa; Chordata; Mammalia; Artiodactyla; Camelidae. The record is from Rfam by way of RNAcentral.
GAGGGUAUAGCUUAAGUGGUAGAGAGAGUGCCUAGCGUGAACGAGGCCCUGGGUUCAAUCCCCAGUACCUCCA